Molecule: small nuclear RNA, 103 nt
Filed under: Chaetura pelagica (chimney swift)
Lineage: Eukaryota; Metazoa; Chordata; Aves; Apodiformes; Apodidae
Source: RNAcentral
UUGCUUCAGCAGCACACGUACCAAAAUUGGAAUGAUACAGAGAAGAUUAGUAUAGUCCCUGCACAAGGAUGACAUAUGAAUCCGUGAAGUGUUCCCUAUUUUU